Molecule: long non-coding RNA, 741 nt
Filed under: Rattus norvegicus (Norway rat)
Lineage: Eukaryota; Metazoa; Chordata; Mammalia; Rodentia; Muridae
Description: long non-coding RNA NONRATT020297
Source: RNAcentral
AUCUUCCUCUCUCUGGAUCUUUGCAGUGGGAUGCUUCUCGUUUUAUCCCAGUAACAGGAGUUUCUUCAAAACCACCCCUGCCUCUCACAGCAUGUUUUGACCUCCGAAGGGAGAAAACUGCAGCUGCAACCAGUCAACCAUAGCAGCCAAAGAGCAGGCGCCAGUAGCCCUCCUGGAAGCAGAAAUGGUUCUUGCCUGCUUUGGUUUUUCAUGAUGUCAUCCAUUCAUCAUUGUGAGCUGACUGGCUGCCCCUCAGGCCUUGGCCAGGUGCCCAUGAUCAGAAGGGAAGAGACAGAUCCCAGGACAACUGUGCAGAGGGCCCCUGAGCAUGUGCAGACAUGAUGACAUCAGUUCCACCUAGAAAGACUUGGUGGAAAUCGAAGAAGACAGUAAAAGUGAGAAGAUCUUAUUCAACCUUCCCUUCCUUGAAUGCCUGGGAAAAAUUCAGGGGCCUCUUGCCUGUGGAUGGGGAAACGAACCCUGGAGUGGGCCUGGGUGUGGAAGAAGGACUACUCUGCCAGAUGGUUCAUUCUCCAGAAUUCAAUCUGUUUCCUAACUCUGUGGUGUUUGAAAGCAACUUUGUCCAGGUCAGAAGGAGCAGAGACUGGAAAGAAAUCUAUAAGGCUUCCAACACCAUGGCCCUUGGGGUGACCUCCUCCGUACCUUGCCUUCCCCUUCCGAACAUCCUCCUUAUGGCCAGAGUCAUAUGGCAUCAGGGGCAGAGCCAGACAUGGAACAGAC